AUUGAACGCUGGCGGCAUGCCUUACACAUGCAAGUCGAACGGCAGCACGGGAGCAAUCCUGGUGGCGAGUGGCGAACGGGUGAGUAAUAUAUCGGAACGUGCCCAGUCGUGGGGAUAACGUAGCGAAAGCUACGCUAAUACCGCAUACGAUCUAUGGAUGAAAGCGGGGGAUCGCAAGACCUCGCGCGAUUGGAGCGGCCGAUAUCAGAUUAGGUAGUUGGUGAGGUAAAGGCUCACCAAGCCGACGAUCUGUAGCUGGUCUGAGAGGACGACCAGCCACACUGGGACUGAGACACGGCCCAGACCUCCUACGGGAGGCAGCAGGUGGGGAAUUUUGGACAAUGGGCGCAAGCCUGAUCCAGCAAUGCCGCGUGCAGGAUGAA
Molecule: ribosomal RNA, 383 nt
Filed under: uncultured bacterium
Lineage: Bacteria
Description: bacterial SSU rRNA
Rfam family: Bacterial small subunit ribosomal RNA
Source: RNAcentral